UUCAACUAGAAGGACAGAAACUGAAAUUUCCACCCAGCAUAAAAUAAAACUUCAUACAAAUUAAUCCAACACUUUUAAAUUCUUGUUAACAUGCACUGUAUAAAAAUGGAACAAAAUAAACAUUAAAAAGCAUUUCUAAAAGUUCAUCUAAGUUCCAUGAAAUAUUUACAUAAAUAGAAAUAUUCACUAGAAAUUGAAAGAAUUAGAGAUUGCCGAACACUUGCCAGUAUGCCAACCAUUGCCAUGCCUCGAUCUUAACCUGUAAAAUUAUUUGUAGGGAUGAGUACUAUAAAUAAUACUCAGUAGGAAACACUUAAGUAAACGGUAAAAAUAUAUAUUUUCAGAAAUGCAAACUUUGGUCAAUUGUGUCACUGUCAAUUUCAAGCGAAUUGAUGAUCAGUCAGUCCGCUUACUCUUAGGUUUUGAUAACCCCAUUUCAUUUGUCAUAAUCAUCUCUUCAUCUCUUGUUUAAACCACUAAACGGUGAUUCCAUCAUGAGCAACACAAUAACACAUUUAAUGCAAACGAAAAUAUAUAAAUCUUACAUUACUUACAUAAGUGCCGAAACACCCCUACCUUAAUGCUUGGAAUUUGAAAUAUCCUUUCAUGUCCAAAGAAUAAAAUGCAGCGUACAUCUUGCCCUUUUCUUAGAAGUUUUCAGAUUCAAAGUUCUUUUUGUCUAUGAAAGAAGGGGCAAAAUAAUUUGAUGCAAUAAGGAUAAUAGGGAGAGAGAGAUAGUGGCCGUGUAGAAUUAUAAAAUGGGAGUUACAAGUUUUUAAUUGCAAUGGUGGUAGGAGUUGUAUUUAAAAUUGGGGUUACACUUGAGGAAAUGGGGGUGGUUGAAAUUUUAAAAUGUUAACUUCCAAAUGGAUAUGGAUAGAUACGUGUAGGUUAUCAUCCCACUAACCAAAUGGUAGUUUUAAAAACAAAAUGGCAGUUAACAAAAUGGAGAUUAAUAUGCUAAGAUAGGGUUGGUUAGAGUUGGAGGUUACAAUGGAUAAUAAAGUGGGGGUAAUGGAUAAAAAUUGGAGUUGAAAUUUUAUUUUCAAAUGAAUGAUCGGGGACGGUUUUGGCAUUGACAAAAAUGGAAGUUUAUUAGAAUGAUAAGUUGGAGAAUAAAUGAUGGAUGAUGAAACAUGCAAGUAAUUUGUCCAAAUAAAAAAAAAAUAGUUUACAUAAUGGAAACAAAAAUGGUAGUAUUAAAAUAAAGUGUGUCGUAAGAAAAAUAAUGUAGCCAAAUCAACAUAAAAUUUUGUCGGUUAAAAGUGAUUUUAACACCUUGUAAAAUUUAAGAAAAUCAAGUACGUGAAAUUUUACUUUCGUGACCAAAAUUUAAUUUAGACUAUUAGGAAGUGUCGUAGCGACAAAAUAAUAUAACCCCAAUUAUAUUUGAGUCCUAUAAGAAAGUUUUAUUUGAAACGAACAAAAACACAUUUUUUUUUCCGAUCGCUACAUUGUCCUAUUACCUCAAUAAAGAUCGCUCAGUAGGAAUAAAAAGGCUUUUAGCUUUGCUUUUUCAACUUUUCAGUUCUAAACCCAAACGUUUUGCUUAUUUUUAAUUAGGUCUUACACUUAGUUACAUCUUUCUUGAUUAAUUUCAUUUUAGUAUAUAGCUAAUUUUUAUUUAUCCGUUCUUCAAGGGUUAUUUAUAAAUUUACAUUAACAAAUUUGAUGAGGUUCGUGUAGAAGAACAAGCACUCGCAUAUUUGGAAUGCUUGGAUUGUCGGCGUUCGAGGAAUUGAGCAUAACUUUUGCAAACGGUGUCCGUUCUGGGCUCAUAAGUACUUUUCGAAAAGGUAGCGACCAUUUUGGAUUGAACUCAAUGCUUUGCCAUGACGUAUGAGGAAUUUUGGCCGUUUGAGAUCAUUUGUUGGGUUAAAACUGCAUUUCAAAUUUAUUAGUUUAUCUUUUUUUAAUAUUUCUUACUUUUAUGUUGUAGCUCAGCCCAUUUAGGGGCUGCUAGCCCAAUAGUUUACCUAAUUCUUAUCGUACUUAAACCCUCCAAAAACGUGUGUUUGUUUUCUUGGUUGUUGAAGAAAUAAAGAAGUUAUUGUUUCUUGCAUCAAUCCGUAAGAGCGAAUAUUUGUUUGAGUUUGUACAUCAGAUCUACAUCAAAAUUUAAGAUGGUCCGCAUAAAUAAAUCUUACUGGACGCAUUAUACUGUGAUUAAGGUAAUGACCAGAGGCAUGAAAGUGUAUACAAUGAUUCCUUUGAUUAUCAAUAAAACAUACUUUAACUCGAACAUAGCCAGCAUGCAUGUAUGGAAUUAGACUUCAAAUGCUAUGCUGUAGUAGAAACCUUCUCCAAGUUGAGAUUCACCCCCUAGAAGUGGAGUAUGACAUUUUCCUUUGAAAAAUAUUUUAUGUUGGGAAAUAUGGUUGAGCAGUUCCUAAGAUAAUUUAUGUGGUUGGCUUAAAAGAUAUGGCGUCAGGGUGGAAGUUACUAAUUAUAGACAUAUUCCAAAUCUUAUGGAGACUUGAAAUUGAUUUAUUUGAUGUUAUAUGAUGUCUUUAAUGACUGUACAAACAAAAUGCUGAAACUGUCUAGUGGAUCUCAUCGUACACCUGGUUCGAUUAUGAACGGCCAUCCUGGAAUGUAUGUUUUGAAUUUUGGGGUGAAAUAGAUUUCUGAGUUUUCGAGCCUCUGAAGUUGGCUAUGCGUUUUUAAUUGAAAGAUGAAACUGCCGGAAAGGAAACUGUUUUGUGUACAUUGAGAAUUCAUUUGAAGGCCUUAUUGGAUGAAUUAAAUCAUGAAAUUUUAAUAUGUUUGAGAUUAAUAAAUUAUGAAUUUACCAUCUGAAUUUCAGAAGUUAUUAUGAUCAUUUAGGGUGUUAAAUGUUAACCUGAAACUGUAUCGUUCAGGAAAAAAAUUUGACGCACAGUGACUAUAUAUGGGGUAUUUUUAGUAAAGAGAGGAUGGAUCAAUAAGGAUAUGUAUUGAAUAUAGGGCUUGGAUCCAUGUGACUGUUAACAAUAAAUAGACGUUUACAAGGAUAGAGAACUUAUUUGAUCAGGUGAAAGGUGUAAAGGUAUUUUAAAAAAUCAUUUUGAGAUCAAGUUGUCGCCAGCUCAAAAAUAAAGGACUGUGAUAUUACUGAGAAGUCAUUUAGAAUUCAAUAUAGCUUACCCAAAGUUUUUUUAAUGUCCCUUAGCUUUAGGAUAAUAUGAUGGAUUGUAUUGGAAGGAAUUAAAGGAUAAGGACCUUUAAGAAGAAGAAUAUUAGAGGAUUUAUCUUAAUUUCCUUCUAUCUUGGGUAUGAACAAGAGUUUUUCUAGUCUAAGAAAUUAUCAGUGAAGAUAACGCAGUACGAGAAAACUAGAGGUUUUCACAUAGUUUGUUCCAUAUCUAGUGGACACAGAGAAACCAUGGAUUAAAUUCUUAGUACGUGGGCUAAGGACGAAUUUAUUGAAAGCAAGGACAAUAUUUAGGAUUUUUAUGCAGUGUGAAGUAUUAGAAAGGACACUAAUCAUAGUAAUCGAGCAGACCACAUUUACUUGUUACCUAACACUACAAAAAGAGCAGCUUUAGAGAUGGAAAUUUCCAUCCCUAACUUCUUAAAUUCUGUAGCUAACAGCCUUUACCGACAAAAUCAAUCCUUCGAAAAUCUUCGCCGCUAAUUUAGCAACGAAUUCCUUAGCUGUUGUUAAAUAGCGACGAAAAAAUCGUCGGUGUUUAAUGAGGACUUAUUCCGUAGCUAAUUAGCAACAACAAUUUUUUUUUUUUUUGUCUCAGAUUACCUACGGAUUAAAUCCGUCUAUGAUUACGAACGGACUUCCGUUGUUCUUUCCAUCACUAAUUUGAAUUAAAAUUUAAAAGAAAAAUUGAAUUAUUAUUUUAGUCAUUCUUUUAUUGAGAACAUAAUAUAUUAAAGUUUAAACUCAAAAGUAAAUAAAAUAAAUUUCAAUAAGAUGUACCAAAUAACUAAAGAUGAACAUGAAAUUGUAAGCAUCUCCAACUCUAAGCUUCUUCUCUUUCAGCUUUGAGCUCCAACCUUAUAAUUCUUUCAUUCAGUUUUUCCUUCUCAUAAUCUUGCUCUGCAACAUGCUUGAACAAUUAUAGGUAAGGGACAGGAACAGUAGUUACGUUCUAACUAAGCCUGGAAAAGAGAUAAGCUUAGCCAAACAUGCAUUUAAGCUUCUUGAAUUCAAACACAUAAUGACAAUGAAAACAAAUCCAAAGCAGUCGUAGUUGACUACAAUUCUCUGCUGAUGUUAGUUACCUACUCUUUGUGCUAAAGGAGAUUUUCUCCUGUUAAAUAACAUUAAUGGCCAGAGCAGUUGAGAAUCAUACGACAUUGAGAAACUUGAAGUUAAGUACGGAUGAUUUGCUGAAUGAAGAAAUAAUAUAGAUAUAAUCUAGAAAUAUGGUAGCUGCUUUCCGAUAUGAGUUGAGCAAUAAUUUUAGACAAAAGGAAAUUGAAUGACUGGCAAGAAGUGGCUUUAUAAAGGUAAUACAUGCUAUAGGAAGGAAGGUGAUUUCGUUCUUAAAUGUUUGUAUGAAGAACAAGUAAAGCCUUAACUAGAAUCUACUAACAUUAAAAAAAAAAAA
This 4547-nucleotide long non-coding RNA is filed under the name Olea europaea (common olive). RNAcentral describes it as "long non-coding RNA (OEUR_LNC005285)". Lineage: Eukaryota; Viridiplantae; Streptophyta; Magnoliopsida; Lamiales; Oleaceae. The record is from RNAcentral.